AUAGUAUAUAGAUAUGACUUUCAGUCGGUCCCCGUUAAAUGUGUUGUUAUACGGAACAGUCCUUUCACGUAAACAGCUAUCCCAGGACUCUUGAAGCCAGACGGCGACCUAUGUGUACUCAACGUUACUUUUGUGCUGGAAAUUUGAGAAGUAUAAAUUUUGACAGCCAGCUCACACGGACAGACACACGAGAUUGCCCUGACCAGCAGGAAGCGAGCAAUAAAAAAUGUUACAUGGAUGGCAGGAAGAGCAAACUAACGGACACUUACUGGCACCCACACAGAGACACACUCACUCACACUUAGACGAUGGCUGAGCCAUAACAAAUGCUUGGCCAUACGUCACUCAUACGCCACGUAGCCCGGCAGGAUACGAUGCAGGUGGUAGUAAGUCUUAAGCUGCUGUACAC
Non-coding RNA from Drosophila melanogaster (fruit fly), 409 nucleotides. The record is from Ensembl. NCBI's taxonomy places the organism in Eukaryota, Metazoa, Arthropoda, Insecta, Diptera, Drosophilidae.